UAGGGAAUCUUCGGCAAUGGCCGAAAGUCUGACCGAGCAACGCCGCGUGAGUGAUGAAGGCCUUAGGGUUGUAAAGCUCUUUCACCGAUGAAGAUAAUGACGGUAGUCGGAGAAGAAGCCCCGGCUAACUUCGUGCCAGCAGCCGCGGUAAUACGAAGGGGGCUAGCGCUGUUCGGGAUUACUGGGCGUAAAGCGCACGUAGGCGGAUAUUUAAGUCAGGGGUGAAAUCCCAGAGCUCAACUCUGGAACUGCCUUUGAUACUGGGUAUCUUGAGUAUGGAAGAGGUAAGUGGAAUUGCGAGUGUAGAGGUGAAAUUCGUAGAUAUUCGCAGGAACACCAGUGGCGAAGGCGGCUUACUGGUCCAUUACUGACGCUGAGGUGCGAAAGCGUGGGGAGCAAACAG
RNAcentral lists this ribosomal RNA (403 nucleotides) under uncultured bacterium. Its description in RNAcentral is "bacterial SSU rRNA". It matches the Rfam family "Bacterial small subunit ribosomal RNA", at positions 355 to 775 of the family's 1533-position model. The record is from RNAcentral.